GUCGCUACUACCGAUUGAAUGGCUCAGUGAGGCCUUCGGACUGGCUCAGGGAGGUCGGCAACGACCACCCAGAGCCGGAAAGUUCGUCAAACUUGGUCAUUUAGAGGAAGUAAAAGUCGUAACAAGGUUUCC
RNAcentral lists this ribosomal RNA (132 nucleotides) under uncultured Tremellales. RNAcentral describes it as "partial small subunit ribosomal RNA". It matches the Rfam family "Eukaryotic small subunit ribosomal RNA", at positions 1675 to 1804 of the family's 1831-position model. The record is from RNAcentral. Lineage: Eukaryota; Fungi; Basidiomycota; Tremellomycetes; Tremellales.